UACGUAGGUGGCAAGCGUUGUCCGGAAUUAUUGGGCGUAAAGCGCGCGCAGGUGGUUUCGUAAGUCUGAUGUGAAAGCCCACGGCUCAACCGUGGAGGGUCAUUGGAAACUGGGGAACUUGAGUGCAGGAGAGAAGAGUGGAAUUCCACGUGUAGCGGUGAAAUGCGUAGAGAUGUGGAGGAACACCAGUGGCGAAGGCGACUCUUUGGCCUGUAACUGACACUGAGGCGCGAAAGCGUGGGGAGCAAACAGG
Molecule: ribosomal RNA, 253 nt
Filed under: uncultured bacterium
Lineage: Bacteria
Description: partial 16S ribosomal RNA
Rfam family: Bacterial small subunit ribosomal RNA
Source: RNAcentral